This 497-nucleotide ribosomal RNA is filed under the name uncultured bacterium. Its description in RNAcentral is "partial 16S ribosomal RNA". It matches the Rfam family "Bacterial small subunit ribosomal RNA", at positions 28 to 507 of the family's 1533-position model. The record is from RNAcentral.
GAUGAACGCUGGCGGCGUGCCUAAUACAUGCAAGUCGAGCGAACAGAUGAGGAGCUUGCUCCUCUGACGUUAGCGGCGGACGGGUGAGUAACACGUGGAUAACCUACCUAUAAGACUGGGAUAACUUCGGGAAACCGGAGCUAAUACCGGAUAAUAUAUUGAACCGCAUGGUUCAAUAGUGAAAGACGGUUUUGCUGUCACUUAUAGAUGGAUCCGCGCCGCAUUAGCUAGUUGGUAAGGUAACGGCUUACCAAGGCAACGAUGCGUAGCCGACCUGAGAGGGUGAUCGGCCACACUGGAACUGAGACACGGUCCAGACUCCUACGGGAGGCAGCAGUAGGGAAUCUUCCGCAAUGGGCGAAAGCUUGACGGAGCAACGCCGCGUGAGUGAUGAAGGUCUUCGGAUCGUAAAACUCGGUUAUUAGGGAAGAACAAAUGUGUAAGUAACUAUGCACGUCUUGACGGUACCUAAUCAGAAAGCCACGGCUAACUACGUG